AACGUAGGACGCAAGCGUUAUCCGGAGUUACUGGGCGUAAAGCGCGGGCAGGCGGUCUUGCCAGUCUGAUGUGAAAUCUCUCAGCUCAACUGGGAGCAGCCAUUGGAAACUACAAGACUGGAGUCUGACGGAGGUAGGCGGAAUUCCGGGUGGAGUGGUGAAAUGCGUAGAGAUCCGGAGGAACACCAGAGGCGAAGGCGGCCUACUGGGUCAGUACUGACGCUGAGCCGCGAAAGCCAGGGGAGCGAACGGG
Molecule: ribosomal RNA, 253 nt
Filed under: uncultured bacterium
Lineage: Bacteria
Description: partial 16S ribosomal RNA
Rfam family: Bacterial small subunit ribosomal RNA
Source: RNAcentral